Molecule: ribosomal RNA, 720 nt
Filed under: uncultured Rhodocyclales bacterium
Lineage: Bacteria; Pseudomonadati; Pseudomonadota; Betaproteobacteria; Rhodocyclales
Description: bacterial SSU rRNA
Rfam family: Bacterial small subunit ribosomal RNA
Source: RNAcentral
AAUCCCCGGGCUUACCUGGGAACUGCAUUUGUGACUGCGAGACUAGAGUGUGGCAGAGGGGGGUAGAAUUCCACGUGUAGCAGUGAAAUGCGUAGAGAUGCGGAGGAAUACCGAUGGCGAAGGCAGCCCCCUGGGCCAACACUGACGCUCAUGCACGAAAGCGUGGGGAGCAAACAGGAUUAGAUACGCUGGUAGUCCACGCCCUAAACGAUGUCAACUAGUUGUUGGGGAAGGAGACUUCCUUAGUAACGCAGCUAACGCGUGAAGUUGACCGCCUGGGGAGUACGGUCGCAAGAUUAAAACUCAAAGGAAUUGACGGGGACCCGCACAAGCGGUGGAUUAUGUGGAUUAAUUCGAUGCAACGCGAAAAACCUUACCUACCCUUGACAUGCCAGGAACUUUCCAGAGAUGGAUUGGUGCCCGAAAGGGAACCUGGACACAGGUGCUGCAUGGCUGUCGUCAGCUCGUGUCGUGAGAUGUUGGGUUAAGUCCCGCAACGAGCGCAACCCUUGCCAUUAAUUGCCAUCAUUCAGUUGGGCACUUUAAUGGGACUGCCGGUGAUAAACCGGAGGAAGGUGGGGAUGACGUCAAGUCCUCAUGGCCCUUAUGGGUAGGGCUUCACACGUAAUACAAUGGUCGGUACAGAGGGUUGCCAACCCGCGAGGGGGAGCUAAUCCCAGAAAGCCGAUCGUAGUCCGGACUGUUCUCUGCAACUCGAGA